AGCCUGUGAUGACAAAAUUCACUUUUCUGACACCUCGUAUGAGAGCUGCACUGUGGCUCCUGAUUCUACUGCUUUAUCUGAGGCUC
Parambassis ranga (Indian glassy fish) is the source of this 86-nucleotide small nucleolar RNA. Ensembl annotates it as small nucleolar RNA SNORD60. The record is from Ensembl. NCBI's taxonomy places the organism in Eukaryota, Metazoa, Chordata, Actinopteri, Ambassidae.